Molecule: small nuclear RNA, 22 nt
Filed under: Arabidopsis thaliana (thale cress)
Lineage: Eukaryota; Viridiplantae; Streptophyta; Magnoliopsida; Brassicales; Brassicaceae
Description: snRNA_04651
Source: RNAcentral
CGGGUUUUACCUGUAUAUGCUU